This 253-nucleotide ribosomal RNA is filed under the name uncultured Zavarzinella sp. RNAcentral describes it as "partial 16S ribosomal RNA". It matches the Rfam family "Bacterial small subunit ribosomal RNA", at positions 524 to 776 of the family's 1533-position model. The record is from RNAcentral. Lineage: Bacteria; Pseudomonadati; Planctomycetota; Planctomycetia; Gemmatales; Gemmataceae.
GACGAACCGUGCAAACGUUAUUCGGAAUCACUGGGCUUAAAGGGCGCGUAGGCGGGUCGGCCAGUCUGCGGUGAAAUCCUCCAGCUUAACUGGAGAACUGCCGUGGAUACUGCCGGCCUCGAGGAGGGUAGGGGCAUCUGGAACAGCCGGUGGAGCGGUGAAAUGCGUUGAUAUCGGCUGGAACUCCGGUGGCGAAGGCGAGAUGCUGGACCCUUUCUGACGCUGAGGCGCGAAAGCCAGGGGAGCGAACGGG